GAUUCCCUGAGUAGCGGCGAGCGAAACGGGAUUAGCCCAAACCAAGAGGCUUGCCUCUUGGGGUUGUAGGACACUCUGUACGGAGUUACAAAAGAACGAGGUAGAUGAAGAGGUCUGGAAAGGCCCGCCAUAGGAGGUAACAGCCCUGUAGUCAAAACUUCGUUCUCUCCUGAGUGGAUCCUGAGUACGGCGGAACACGUGAAAUUCCGUCGGAAUCCGGGAGGACCAUCUCCCAAGGCUAAAUACUCCCUAGUGACCGAUAGUGAACCAGUACCGUGAGGGAAAGGUGAAAAGCACCCCGGAAGGGGAGUGAAAGAGAUCCUGAAACCGUGUGCCUACAAGUAGUCAGAGCCCGUUAACGGGUGAUGGCGUGCCUUUUGUAGAAUGAACCGGCGAGUUACGAUCCCGUGCAAGGUUAAGCAGAAGAUGCGGAGCCGCAGCGAAAGCGAGUCUGAAUAGGGCGCAUGAGUACGUGGUCGUAGACCCGAAACCAGGUGAUCUACCCAUGUCCAGGGUGAAGUUCAGGUAACACUGAAUGGAGGCCCGAACCCACGCACGUUGAAAAGUGCGGGGAUGAGGUGUGGGUAGGGGUGAAAUGCCAAUCGAACCUGGAGAUACCUCGUUCUCUCCGAAAUAGCUUUAGGGCUAGCCUCAAGGUAAGAGUCUUGUAGGUAGAGCACUGAUUGGACUAGGGGCCCCUACCGGGUUACCGAAUUCAGUCAAACUCCGAAUGCCAAUGACUUAUCCUUGGGAGUCACACUGCUAGUGAUAAGAUCCGCAGUCGAAAGGGAAA
This 793-nucleotide ribosomal RNA is filed under the name Bacillus sp. (in: firmicutes). RNAcentral's name for it is "bacterial LSU rRNA". It matches the Rfam family "Bacterial large subunit ribosomal RNA", at positions 233 to 1022 of the family's 2925-position model. Lineage: Bacteria; Bacillati; Bacillota; Bacilli; Caryophanales; Bacillaceae. The record is from RNAcentral.